GGCCCGGUAGCUCAGUGGUUAGAGCGCUGGCUUCCCAAGCCAGAGGACCAGGGUUCGAUUCCCCGGCCGGGUGG
Molecule: transfer RNA, 74 nt
Filed under: Portunus trituberculatus (swimming crab)
Lineage: Eukaryota; Metazoa; Arthropoda; Malacostraca; Decapoda; Portunidae
Description: tRNA-Gly
Rfam family: tRNA
About the family: Transfer RNA (tRNA) molecules are approximately 80 nucleotides in length.
Source: RNAcentral